CCGGGGCUCAACUCCGGUUCUGCAGUGGGUACGGGCAGACUAGAGUGCAGUAGGGGAGACUGGAAUUCCUGGUGUAGCGGUGAAAUGCGCAGAUAUCAGGAGGAACACCGAUGGCGAAGGCAGGUCUCUGGGCUGUAACUGACGCUGAGGAGCGAAAGCAUGGGGAGCGAACAGGAUUAGAUACCCUGGUAGUCCAUGCCGUAAACGUUGGGCACUAGGUGUGGGGGACAUUCCACGUUUUCCGCGCCGUAGCUAACGCAUUAAGUGCCCCGCCUGGGGAGUACGGCCGCAAGGCUAAAACUCAAAGGAAUUGACGGGGGCCCGCACAAGCGGCGGAGCAUGCGGAUUAAUUCGAUGCAACGCGAAGAACCUUACCAAGGCUUGACAUGAACCGGUAAUACCUGGAAACAGGUGCCCCGCUUGCGGUCGGUUUACAGGUGGUGCAUGGUUGUCGUCAGCUCGUGUCGUGAGAUGUUGGGUUAAGUCCCGCAACGAGCGCAACCCUCGUUCUAUGUUGCCAGCGCGUUAUGGCGGGGACUCAUAGGAGACUGCCGGGGUCAACUCGGAGGAAGGUGGGGACGACGUCAAAUCAUCAUGCCCCUUAUGUCUUGGGCUUCACGCAUGCUACAAUGGCC
Molecule: ribosomal RNA, 635 nt
Filed under: bacterium TN62B
Lineage: Bacteria
Description: bacterial SSU rRNA
Rfam family: Bacterial small subunit ribosomal RNA
Source: RNAcentral